CAUUUAUGUAUGCCCAUUUGGCCUUCUUUCAUCAAGGAUAUGAUCUGUUUAGUGAACUUGGACCCUACAUGAAGGAUCUGGGUGCACAGCCGCCAUCAUGAUUAUUUACCAGUACCUCAUCAGCCACAUUGAGAUGUUCUCUGAAAUAUACAAGAUCUGGGAGAUCGCUGAAGGGCUGUGCCUGGAGGUGGAGAGGAAGAUGGUCAGUAGGAAAGAAGGUAACAUUGAUGGUUCGAUUAUUGGUGGAAAUGCCUCCGCGGAAGGCCCUGAGGGCGAAUGUACGGAAAGCACAGUAAUCACUGGUGUCGAUAUUGUCAUGAACCAUCACCUGCAGGAAACACAUUCCACAAAAGGAGCCUGCAAGAAGUACAUCAAAGAUUACAUGAAAUCAAUUAAAGGCAAACUUGAACAGAGACCGGAAAGAGUAAAACCUUUUAUGACAAAGGCUGUAGAACAAAGCAAGCACACCUUUGCUAAUUUCAAAAACUACCAAUUCUUUAUUGGUGAAAACAUGAAUCCAGAUGGCAUGGUAUUGGACUACUGUGAGGAUGGUGUGACCCCAUAUAUGAUUUUCUUUAAGGAUGAUUUGGAAAUGGAAAAAUGUUAACAUAAUUGGCAGUUACUUCCGAUCUAUCACCUGUCAUUGUAACUGGCUUCUGCUUGUCAUCCACACAGCACCAGGACUUAAGAGAAAGGGGACUGAUGUCAUCUUGAGCUCUUUAUUUAUUUUGACCAUGAUUUAUUUGGAGUGGAGGCAUUGUUUUUAAGAAAAACAUGUCAUGUAGGUUGUCUAAAAAUAAAAUGCAUUUAAACUCAUUUGAGAGAAUGCUUUGUAGUUUAAUAUAUAUUUAAACCAAAUUCAUCCUGUAGUGUUCCUGGAGAAGCUAGAGACUGGUUGUAAGCUACUAGAAAGAAUUAAGACUCAUCAAUUAACCUCUACGAAACUACUUCUGG
RNA transcript from Sapajus apella (tufted capuchin), 954 nucleotides. It is a transcript of the gene named translationally-controlled tumor protein pseudogene, with no coding region annotated. The record is from RefSeq and is a predicted model, not a curated record. The transcript has 2 exons. Lineage: Eukaryota; Metazoa; Chordata; Mammalia; Primates; Cebidae.